Molecule: ribosomal RNA, 253 nt
Filed under: uncultured bacterium
Lineage: Bacteria
Also listed under: 1 other name
Description: partial 16S ribosomal RNA
Rfam family: Bacterial small subunit ribosomal RNA
Source: RNAcentral
GACAGAGGUGCCGAGCGUUAGGCGGAAUCACUGGGCUUAAAGCGUGUGUAGGCGGGCCGUUAAGUGUCUUGUGAAAUCCCCCGGCUCAACCGGGGAAUUGCUGGGCAUACUGGCGGUCUUGAGCAAUCUAGGGGCAGAUGGAACAAGUGGUGGAGCGGUGAAAUGCGUAGAUAUCACUUGGAACGCCAACGGUGAAGACAGUCUGCUGGGGAUUUGCUGACGCUGAGACACGAAAGCCAGGGGAGCGAACGGG